Molecule: ribosomal RNA, 262 nt
Filed under: uncultured bacterium
Lineage: Bacteria
Description: partial 16S ribosomal RNA
Rfam family: Bacterial small subunit ribosomal RNA
Source: RNAcentral
GUCCACACCGUAAACGUUGGGCGCUAGGUGUGGGAUCCAUUCCACGGGUUCCGUGCCGCAGCUAACGCAUUAAGCGCCCCGCCUGGGGAGUACGGCCGCAAGGCUAAAACUCAAAGGAAUUGACGGGGGCCCGCACAAGCGGCGGAGCAUGCGGAUUAAUUCGAUGCAACGCGAAGAACCUUACCUGGGUUUGACAUGGGAAGUUAACCAUCAGAGAUGGUGGGUCCGUUAGGGUUUCUCACAGGUGGUGCAUGGCUGUCGU